RNAcentral lists this unclassified non-coding RNA (339 nucleotides) under uncultured fungus. Its description in RNAcentral is "sequence contains ITS1, 5.8S rRNA gene". The stretch from base 291 to 339 matches the Rfam family "5.8S ribosomal RNA", at positions 1 to 49 of the family's 154-position model. The record is from RNAcentral. Lineage: Eukaryota; Fungi.
UUUCCGUAGGUGAACCUGCGGAAGGAUCAUUACAUUUUCACAACAACGAUGGCGUCGUCCUUAGAACCGUCUCCGUGCGGCUCGGGGCGGCGUUUCAUCGGCGGGCACGUCGCGGCUUCCUGUUUACUCAGGAAGUAAUCCCGUCUAGAAUGGACUCACGCGGGGUCGUCUGAAUCCUUAACUUUACGAGAACUCUCCAUACUCCUUCGGUGGGGUGACCUGCCGUUGGAACCAACAAAAACCUUUUUUUUGCAUCUAGUAUUACCUGUUCUGAUACAAACAAUCGUUACAACUUUCAACAAUGGAUCUCUUGGCUCUGGCAUCGAUGAAGAACGCAGC